UACGGGGGGUGCGAGCGUUGUCCGGAAUCACUGGGCGUAAAGGGCGCGUAGGUGGCGUGAUAAGGCUGUGGUGAAAGCCCGGGGCUCAACCCCGGGUCUGCCAUGCCGACUGUCAGGCUAGAGUACUGUAGGGGCAGGCGGAAUUCCGGGUGUAGCGGUGGAAUGCGUAGAUAUCAGGAGGAACACCGGUGGUGUAGACGGCUUUCUGGACCGUAACUGACGCUGAGACACGAAAGCGUGGGUAGCAAACAGG
Molecule: ribosomal RNA, 253 nt
Filed under: uncultured bacterium
Lineage: Bacteria
Description: partial 16S ribosomal RNA
Rfam family: Bacterial small subunit ribosomal RNA
Source: RNAcentral